CUGCAUCACUGCUUGUUCAGCGGGCUACUCCGCGGGGCUCGCGUCCAGUUACUAUGUGCCCAGAUGUAAAGGCAGCAGUCGCUUGAAAGUCACCCAUCUGCAGUGGCAGUGUGUCUUUCCUGAUUCCAGGUGCUAAGAACGCUCAAGCCAUGGAGAGAGAUGCAUUUGGAGUUGUUUACAUUCAGACAAAGCUCAUCUGGUUGUUUGCAGCUAGUCACAAGCAUGAAAAUAGCCUGCUGAAAGAAUUCACUUUGAAAAUGCCACAAAACAGACAAUGGAAAAAUGAGGGUCAUCAGAACUACAUCUUCCUAAGAGGGAAAGAAACACCCAAUAACAUCUUGGCAGGUGCUGCAUAAUCAUGCCUCAAAUGACUUUCUGAAGAUAAAAAGAAAGUGGUACUUGCUUGCAUAACUGAACAUAUCUGCCUGAGUUGUUUUCCUACAGAUGUUAUCCUGGGAAUAGAAACAAAAUUGUUCAUUCCCUAGCAGCCUUCAAGAAGCACUGUGAUCUAGGGCAGCACAGAGCCAGCAAUGAGAGACAGAAUGACAUUCACAAUUCUAGAAGAAAACACUGGAGUGGAAUAUACACAGAAUGGCUGUUUGGUCUCAAGACUGCAUGAAUUAUUAUCCGGCUAUGCUGGAUGUUCUAAUUCCUUUCUCUCAGAGGACUGUAGGUAGAUACAUAUGCUGACUACAUAUGUGGAUAACACUGUCGAA
Molecule: long non-coding RNA, 716 nt
Filed under: Homo sapiens (human)
Lineage: Eukaryota; Metazoa; Chordata; Mammalia; Primates; Hominidae
Description: HSALNT0321008
Source: RNAcentral